RNAcentral lists this ribosomal RNA (207 nucleotides) under uncultured bacterium. RNAcentral's name for it is "partial 16S ribosomal RNA". It matches the Rfam family "Bacterial small subunit ribosomal RNA", at positions 568 to 774 of the family's 1533-position model. The record is from RNAcentral.
CAUGUAGGCGGAGUGGUCAGUCAGUGGUGAAAUCUCCCGGCUUAACCGGGAGCCUGCUACUGAUACUGCCAUUCUUGAGUUCGGAAGAGGGAAGUGGAAUUCCUGGUGUAGCGGUGAAAUGCGUAGAUAUCAGGAAGAACACCAGUAGCGAAGGCGGCUUCCUGGUCCGAUACUGACGCUGAGAUGCGAAAGCGUGGGGAGCAAACA